GCUAUCAUGCCUUUGCCAGCUUUUGUUAUUUUUUAUUGCCGACAACAGCGGUGCGCGUUAUUACGCGCGUGAAUCAUUAUCAGAAG
This 86-nucleotide non-coding RNA is filed under the name Enterobacter kobei. Its description in RNAcentral is "Peptidase-S11 RNA". It matches the Rfam family "Peptidase-S11 RNA". Rfam says of the family: Enterobacteria. Environment (Termite gut, fungus grower) Lineage: Bacteria; Pseudomonadati; Pseudomonadota; Gammaproteobacteria; Enterobacterales; Enterobacteriaceae. The record is from RNAcentral.